UCUGGUUGAUCCCGGCAGAGGUUACUGCUAUCGAGGUUCGACUAAGCCAUGCGAGUCGAAUGUAGCAAUACAUGGCGAACUGCUCAGUAACACGUGGACAACCUGCCCUUAGGUUGGGUAUAAACCCGGGAAACUGGGUAUAAUACCCGAUAGGUCUCGAUUGCUGGAAUGCAUCGAGAUUUAAAGCUCCGGCGCCUAAGGAUGGGUCUGCGGCCUAUCAGGUAGUAGUGGGUGUAGCGUACCUACUAGCCUACGACGGGUACGGGUUGUGAGAGCAAGAGCCCGGAGAUGGAUUCUGAGACACGAAUCCAGGCCCUACGGGGUGCAGCAGGCGCGAAAACUUUACAAUGCUGGCAACAGCGAUAAGGGAACCUCGAGUGCCAGGUUACAAAUCUGGCUGUCGAGAUGCCUAAAAAGCAUUUCAUAGCAAGGGCCGGGCAAGACCGGUGCCAGCCGCCGCGGUAACACCGGCGGCUCGAGUGGUAACCGUUAUUAUUGGGU
This 501-nucleotide ribosomal RNA is filed under the name uncultured methanogenic archaeon. RNAcentral's name for it is "bacterial SSU rRNA". It matches the Rfam family "Archaeal small subunit ribosomal RNA", at positions 1 to 509 of the family's 1478-position model. Lineage: Archaea; Methanobacteriati; Methanobacteriota. The record is from RNAcentral.